Molecule: ribosomal RNA, 253 nt
Filed under: uncultured bacterium
Lineage: Bacteria
Description: partial 16S ribosomal RNA
Rfam family: Bacterial small subunit ribosomal RNA
Source: RNAcentral
UACGUAGGUGGCAAGCGUUGUCCGGAUUUACUGGGCGUAAAGAGCGCGCAGGCGGUCGUUCAAGUCGCGUGUGAAAGCCCCCGGCUCAACUGGGGAGGGUCACGCGAUACUGAUCGACUCGAAGGCAGGAGAGGGUAGUGGAAUUCCCGGUGUAGUGGUGAAAUGCGUAGAUAUCGGGAGGAACACCGGUGGCGAAGGCGGCCCUCUGGACGAGUACUGACGCUGAGGCGCGAAAGCGUGGGGAUCAAACAGG